GACGAACGCUGGCGGCGUGCUUAACACAUGCAAGUCGAACGGUAAGGCCCUUCGGGGUACACGAGUGGCGAACGGGUGAGUAACACGUGGGUGAUCUGCCCUGCACUUCGGGAUAAGCCUGGGAAACUGGGUCUAAUACCGGAUAGGACCACUGCCUGCAUGGGUGGUGGUGGAAAGCUUUUGCGGUGUGGGAUGGGCCCGCGGCCUAUCAGCUUGUUGGUGGGGUGAUGGCCUACCAAGGCGACGACGGGUAGCCGGCCUGAGAGGGUGACCGGCCACACUGGGACUGAGAUACGGCCCAGACUCCUACGGGAGGCAGCAGUGGGGAAUAUUGCACAAUGGGCGCAAGCCUGAUGCAGCGACGCCGCGUGAGGGAUGACGGCCUUCGGGUUGUAAACCUCUUUCAGCAUCGACGAAGCGAAAGUGACGGUAGGUGCAGAAGAAGGACCGGCCAACUACGUGCCAGCCGCCGCGGUAA
Molecule: ribosomal RNA, 478 nt
Filed under: uncultured bacterium
Lineage: Bacteria
Description: partial 16S ribosomal RNA
Rfam family: Bacterial small subunit ribosomal RNA
Source: RNAcentral